AGAAGAAACUACGAGAGAAGAGGGGGUGAUUCAAAUUGAUGAUCAAUUUGCAAGAUGAGAAGCGCCUAAAAAGCAACAGAGAAUGGCGAUUAGUAAUACUUUGGUUACAGCUCAUCCUCAGGUUUGCUUGUUUCUUUGAUCUCAUCAGCGCCAUCUUCCUGUAAUCAGAAUACAAAAAGCAAUUAAUUUCUCUAUAUUUCCGACAGUAUAGUAACCAAUUCAUGAGAUGAACAAUUGGUUCUUUAUUUUUUUCGACUAGGAUUUGUAAGAAUAUAUAUAUAUAUAUAUAUAUAUAUAUAUAUAUAUAUAUAUAUAUAUAUAUAUAUAUAGAGUUGAGCUGGAAUGCUAUCGGUAGCAAACCGGUUCUGUUGUCACUCAUUUAUUUUCGAUUAUGGAACCUUUAAAUUGACGAUCGGCACCGUUGAACAUGAUCUAUACCACUUGAAGUAUCUAGAAACCAAAUUUUAAAUCUUUUCGACAUCAUUGACCUAAUGAUCAAAGGGUUUCAAAAUUUGUAAUUUUAAUGGUAGAUAUAAAGCGUUUUCUCGUUUAACGGUGUAAAGCUAUCCAAAUCAAUUGAAUUUUAGUUGGAAAAUUCUUUAAACUAUUUAGAAUAAGAUCUAUACUCUCGAUCUUGAUUACAAAAUUUCUAUCAUCACUUUUUAGAGAAUAUUCAUUUUCAGUCGUUCAUUUUUACGCCCACUUGAUCGACAAGAGAACAAUAUCGAAAAAGCAUGAAAUUUGAUUUCUAGAUACUUUAAGUGGUGUAGAUCAUAUUCAACGGUGCCAAUCAUCAAUUUGGAGGCUCCAUCAUCGAAAACAAAUAAAUGGCAACGGAGCCCGUUUGCUACCGAUAGUAUUCUAGCUCAACUAUAUAUAUAUAUACUUACAAAUCCUAGUCAAAAAAAAUAAAGAACCAAUUGUUCAUCUCAUGAAUUGGUUUUGUAAGAAACUGAAAUUACAUUGCAUCUCAUAGGGCUACACAUGUGAGCAGUUACUUUUUCAAGCAGUAUAUAUACAUACAUAUAUAAUAAAAAUGAUAAUGUGUCAUUAGAUGCAACUUCAAACUUCAGGGAAACAAGAGCAUACAUGUAAAUGAUCCAAUUAAAAGGAGAAAGAAAAAGCGUUAGUUGAGAGAGCUACAUCAGGGCAAAAACCAGACCUGCAUGUCUGAGGUCCACAGGGUGAGAUUGUCG
RNAcentral lists this long non-coding RNA (1196 nucleotides) under Ananas comosus (pineapple). RNAcentral's name for it is "long non-coding RNA (ACOM_LNC029869)". The record is from RNAcentral. Lineage: Eukaryota; Viridiplantae; Streptophyta; Magnoliopsida; Poales; Bromeliaceae.